Molecule: long non-coding RNA, 1194 nt
Organism: Lemur catta (Ring-tailed lemur)
Lineage: Eukaryota; Metazoa; Chordata; Mammalia; Primates; Lemuridae
Exons: 3
Source: RefSeq, a predicted model, not a curated record
UCCAGAUCCUGGCUCCGAAGACGCUGGACUCGGAAUUUAACUGGUUCCCCAGCAAGGCCAGGAGGGAGUGCUCCCCACUGUAGGCCCCGCCCCAUGAGCACUAAGGGCUUCUGUGCCUGGGCGGGCUGGCAGGGGGUGGAGUGCCCGUCAUGCCCUGCGGCUUUGCGGCUUUGCACGGGGUGUUGCACCUGGCGUGAGAGGACACAGUGCCGCCAUGUUAGCGUCGCCCCACAGGAGCUGUUUUUGUGCCGCCUGCCGGCCAGGCCUCAAACCAGAGCGAGUGUGACCUCUUUGUCCUCACUCAGACGUGAGGCCCCGAGGGGAAUGUGCCAUCGCAGCGGAAAGUCCUCUGUGUCCCGCCUUCAGAGUCUCCAGCGUCAUUGCUGUGUGAGGUCUGCUACUUCACGAUGACCUGUGACCUGGGCGUGGACUCUGAGCAGGGCCAGUUGUUUCUGUGAGGACGACCUGUGAUCCUGGCCUGGACUCUUAGCAGUCACAGUUGGUGGAGUCCAUGAGGACAACCUAUGACAUUGGUGCAGAUUCUGCGCAGGCACAGUUUCUGGUGUCUGUCAGGGAGUGAUCAGGAGGUGGGGGGGGCCCACUCUCAACCAUGGGGUGUGCACCCUUGCACAUCCUGGGCUGCUCCCUUGCCCAGGGUGCCUACAGUGACACAGGACUUUGUGAUGUUGCGACGGCCUGGGGGCUCCGUGCAGGUUGCUCUUCCAAAUUCAAGUGAAGUUUGGGGAAGACACUUGGAUACAAAACAGGAGAGGGGCCCUUUUACCUACAGUUUUUGAGGUUUUUAAUGCAACUUGCCUCUCUCAGUACAGAACAUAGGGUACAUGUAGGCACAUUACAGACGGGUGAGCUUAGGGUAGCUCAGAGGAGUGAGACGUCAGGGUGGGAGACAGGAGUUUGUAUGUGUCCAGAAAUGACUGAGGCACCCUGUGUGGUCAGAGAGAGUCAACCCUGGAUUCCUAGCACCUUCCUACUGCCUCCCACAGCUCCCGCUGCAACCACCUCCUGGCCUACAGCAGUAGGGGCUCUGGCCAUCACACACAAGCUCCACACCUGAUAAUGAGGAAGACAUGGGUAAUGGGUGCUUCUCCCUUCCAGGUCAGUGCAGGAAUUCCAGUGGCCCUCUGCUCAUCACUGAGUCCUGUCCCCACCCUGGGAUGUGCAGAAACCAGGGAG